GCGGCAGGCCUAACACAUGCAAGUCGAGCGGCAGCGGAAGGAAGCUUGCUUCCUUGCCGGCGAGCGGCGGACGGGUGAGUAAUGUCUGGGGAUCUGCCCGAUGGAGGGGGAUAACUACUGGAAACGGUAGCUAAUACCGCAUAACGUCGCAAGACCAAAGUGGGGGACCUUCGGGCCUCACACCAUCGGAUGAACCCAGAUGGGAUUAGCUAGUAGGCGGGGUAAAGGCCCACCUAGGCGACGAUCUCUAGCUGGUCUGAGAGGAUGACCAGCCACACUGGAACUGAGACACGGUCCAGACUCCUACGGGAGGCAGCAGUGGGGAAUAUUGCACAAUGGGGGAAACCCUGAUGCUGCCAUGCCGCGUGUAUGAAGAAGGCCUUCGGGUUGUAAAGUACUUUCAGCGGGGAGGAAGGCAGUGAACUUAAUACGUUCGCUGAUUGACGUUACCCGCAGAAGAAGCACCGGCUAACUCCGUGCCAGCAGCCGCGGUAAUACGGAGGGUGCAAGCGUUAAUCGGAAUGACUGGGCGUAAAGCGCACGCAGGCGGUUUGUUAAGUCAGAUGUGAAAUCCCCGAGCUUAACUUGGGAACUGCAUUUGAAACUGGCAAGCUAGAGUCUUGUAGAGGGGGGUAGAAUUCCAGGUGUAGCGGUGAAAUGCGUAAAGAUCUGGAGGAAUACCGGUGGCA
Molecule: ribosomal RNA, 689 nt
Filed under: Enterobacteriaceae bacterium AaM50c
Lineage: Bacteria; Pseudomonadati; Pseudomonadota; Gammaproteobacteria; Enterobacterales; Enterobacteriaceae
Description: bacterial SSU rRNA
Rfam family: Bacterial small subunit ribosomal RNA
Source: RNAcentral